AGUCCUGCCUAUAACUCCUGCCUAACUAUUGGCUUUUUAUUACACCAAUCACAGCAAUACACCUUCACACAGUGUACAACUAUCCAUGACAGAAUAUAUUACUUUUCUCAGGAAGAUGUGAACUCAUAUCUAUUCAUCCAGAAAAGUUACCGAUGACAGACCAAAGAAUUGACUCCACCUCAGAUCUAACUUAAUGACCAGGAGGUUUAUUGAUGUAACUUAACAGGAGUAUGGAUAAGGAAUGACUUAUCUGCCCACAGAUGACUCAAAGGAGGCAGCUACGUCAUCCAAAGCACACUGCAUGGGUGAGGAUUCAUGGAAGAUGAGUCACUGGAGUUCCCUGUACAGCUUGCAGGCAACUUACCACCCCCAUUCCCCCACCCCAUCCCUCACCACCCCCCUAUCCCCACCAGCAAGUGCUUAAAUGACCUCAGGGAGGCCCUGACUUGUAGGUUUCAUGAGCUUCCUUAGCCUCCUAUUGGCAAGCUUUCAACCCCCUCUCUCCUCCUGGAAGAAACAGCUGUAGGACACAUACCCAGAGACUGAGAAGCCAUGGGCUGGAGGAAGAAUCAGUGCCCGGAAUUUGUGGCACAAACAGUACAUCAAUUUCCCUGGCAAGAGAAACUGGCUUUGUUCGUGCCAGUGAGGUUCAGAAGAGCUGGCAGGACACGCGGUGAUGACUAAGUCAUGGUUCCCCGGCAAGCUGGGGGUGGUGCCAGAGGGAGAGUGCUUUGUGAACUGGUCAGGCAGUGCCUGGUAGAUGAGUGGGUGACCAUUAGCCUCUUCUACCAGAGCAGAUGGGGGCAGGGGCGGGUGGGGGCAUGAGGUGCCAGGAUGUUGGCUUUCAGUAUGAGAUCCCUUUUUUUUUUUGAGAUCCCCUUUUUAAUGUGUUUGUUUUCAUCACUAACCAAAAGUUAGUGAUGCUAACUGUGCUCUGCCCACCCCAAUUCCCCAUCAAGCUCGCCCUGUAGCAGAUCGUGGCUGUGGCUCACCCUCGCCGUGUGUAUUGAAUAAUUAAGCUUUCCUAUUUAAGACAAGGGGUUACUCUGUUUUCCAUUUCAAAGAUUGUAGGCUACAAUGGGUACAAAGUAAGUCCAAUGCUAGCCUACACUACCCAGUCUCAAAAAGAAAAAGAAACUAUGUAAGCUACCCUGCUUCUCCUAUUUUGGCUUCCUGAUUGUGCCAGCCUUAUCAUAAAGGUAACAUACAUCAUUGGUAUAUUUGUUUGUUCGUUUAAAUCAGGAUCUUAUUUUGUAACCUGAGUUACAAACCUCAAACUCACUAUCCUCUUGCCUCGCUCCACAAUAUUGAGAUUACUACUGUGCGCCACCAUGCCCUCUUCUUGUUGUUCUAUUUUCAAAGAAAUAUGUAUCAGUUGAUCUUAUAGUAAUACAAAAGUUAAGGGAAAGUGUCCUCUGAAAUUUGGUGGGAAUAAAGACUAAGUAAAGGUUAAA
This is a non-coding RNA of Peromyscus maniculatus bairdii (prairie deer mouse), 1454 nucleotides long. Lineage: Eukaryota; Metazoa; Chordata; Mammalia; Rodentia; Cricetidae. The record is from RefSeq and is a predicted model, not a curated record.